Molecule: ribosomal RNA, 339 nt
Filed under: uncultured bacterium
Lineage: Bacteria
Description: bacterial SSU rRNA
Rfam family: Bacterial small subunit ribosomal RNA
Source: RNAcentral
ACUCCUACGGGAGGCAGCAGUGGGGAAUAUUGCACAAUGGGGGAAACCCUGAUGCAGCCAUGCCGCGUGUGUGAAGAAGGCCUUCGGUUGUAAAGCACUUUCAGUAGGGAGGAAGGUAGUGUAGUUAACACCUGCAUUAUUUGUACGUUACCUACAGAAGAAGCACCGGCUAACUCCGUGCCAGCAGCCGCGGUAAUACGGAGGGUGCGAGCGUUAAUCGGAAUUACUGGGCGUAAAGCGCAUGCAGGCGGCCUGUUAAGUCAGAUGUGAAAGCCCGGGGCUUAACCUCGGAAUUGCAUUUGAAACUGGCAGGCUAGAGUCUUGUAGAGGGGGUAGGAA